RNAcentral lists this ribosomal RNA (153 nucleotides) under Benedenia kobudai. RNAcentral's name for it is "5.8S ribosomal RNA". It matches the Rfam family "5.8S ribosomal RNA". Rfam says of the family: 5.8S ribosomal RNA (5.8S rRNA) is a component of the large subunit of the eukaryotic ribosome. It is transcribed by RNA polymerase I as part of the 45S precursor that also contains 18S and 28S rRNA. The record is from RNAcentral. Lineage: Eukaryota; Metazoa; Platyhelminthes; Monogenea; Capsalidea; Capsalidae.
UACUCCAUGUAGUGGAUCACUCGGCUCGUACGUCGAUGAAGAGUGCUGCAAAUUGUGAUAUUUAUUGCGAAUUGCUCACUGCUUCGAACAUCGACUUCUUGAACGCAAAUGGCAGCUGCGGCGUAAGCCGUGGCUACGUUUGAUCGAGCGCUG